AUUCCAGCUCCAAUAGCGUAUAUUAAAGUUGUUGCAGUUAAAAAGCUCGUAGUUGGAUUUCUGGCAGGAGUGACUGACCACAAACUCUGUUUGUGAGUUGUGUCAUUCUGGCCAUCCUUGGUAAGAUCCUUUUUGGCAUUAAGUUGUCGGGAAGGGGAUGACCAUCGUUUACUGUGAAAAAAUUAGAGUGUUUAAAGCAGGCUUAUGCCGUUGAAUAUAUUAGCAUGGAAUAAUAAGAUAGGACUUUGGCGUCUAUUUUGUUGGUUUGCACACCAAGGUAAUGAUUAAUAGGGAUAGUUGGGGGUAUUCGUAUUUAAUUGUCAGAGGUGAAAUUCUUGGAUUUAUGAAAGACGAACUUCUGCGAAAGCAUUUACCAAAGAUGUUUUCAUCA
Molecule: ribosomal RNA, 391 nt
Filed under: Skeletonema sp.
Lineage: Eukaryota; Bacillariophyta; Thalassiosirophyceae; Thalassiosirales; Thalassiosiraceae
Description: partial small subunit ribosomal RNA
Rfam family: Eukaryotic small subunit ribosomal RNA
Source: RNAcentral